Long non-coding RNA from Oncorhynchus tshawytscha (Chinook salmon), 598 nucleotides. RefSeq lists it as uncharacterized. The record is from RefSeq and is a predicted model, not a curated record. The transcript is spliced from 2 exons. NCBI's taxonomy places the organism in Eukaryota, Metazoa, Chordata, Actinopteri, Salmoniformes, Salmonidae.
AUGACCGGCUAUGAAAAGCCAACUGACAUUUACUCCUGAGGUUGCAACAGGACAACUGCACAAGGGUUCCACAUACUCUGGCCACAAAGACUGCCAGAUGGCCCUAAACCGGGAAGAAUACACCCAGGUCAAACUGGGACGAAGCUCUGAGGUCAUGCUGGAUCUUCAUAAGCUAAAUGUUCUCAUUCAGCAGAUUCUUAAGCUCCUCCCUGCAGGGUUACUAUAUCUUUAGUAACAUACAGGUAGGGCAAUUGCCAUUUUGCUAUGUAGAAAUUUGUCUGUCAUUAGCCUACAGUAAUCUACCUCUUAUGCAACUACCCCGUUUUUGUUACAGGAAAUGCUAAUGGCAAUGGUGGCUUGGUUUGUUUCCUGUCACAGAAUAACGCAUUUUGAUUUCUUUGCAUUGGUUUUGACUGUCAAUAUAAACAAAUGUUUGAAAUACAAAUACAUGCAUUUCUUUAUGUAAAAUGGAUAUUUUAAUAUAUUGCACACUGAAGCAGGGAUUGCGUCAUUUCCAGCUACAUGCAAGAAAGUGGCACAUUUAAUUUUCACAUUUGUCUGAUACCACUGGCAUUUAUUUAAAGGUUGAAUUUCUGGA